CAUUGAACUUUUAAUUGCCUCAAGCUAUUUAAAAGUGUUAAACUAUACGUAAUUUUCAUAACAAAUUUCUAUUCAAUCAAAUAACUAGAUCUACCUUCGAUAAUGUUGUGAACAGAAGAACUAUCAAAAUGAGAAUUCUGUCAUGUUAUAGGCUGGUAUUUGUAUCUUUGUUAUUAGUCUUAUGCUAUUCGCAAAAAUAUACAGAAAGAAGCAAACAAUCUAACCAAGAUAGAGAAAGAGAUAAAGUUAUUGUUGCUGAAUUGACAAACAUGUUGUGUUCGAUGUGUAGCAAAAUGCAGGACACUGCAAAUAAAAAGAAGUGCAUAGAGAAAUUAUGUUUACGGAAUGCAUUGUCUUUUGUUCGGCAUUCAAAAGUGAUGGAAAAAACACCAGGACUGCAAUUGACAGCUUAACGUCUUCAUUAAAGACGAAAUUUGAUAUAA
Long non-coding RNA from Mytilus californianus (California mussel), 443 nucleotides. RefSeq lists it as uncharacterized. Lineage: Eukaryota; Metazoa; Mollusca; Bivalvia; Mytilida; Mytilidae. The record is from RefSeq and is a predicted model, not a curated record. The transcript has 2 exons.